RNAcentral lists this ribosomal RNA (404 nucleotides) under uncultured bacterium. RNAcentral describes it as "bacterial SSU rRNA". It matches the Rfam family "Bacterial small subunit ribosomal RNA", at positions 355 to 776 of the family's 1533-position model. The record is from RNAcentral.
UGGGGAAUAUUGGACAAUGGGCGAAAGCCUGAUCCAGCCAUGCCGCGUGAGUGAAGAAGGCCUUAGGGUUGUAAAACUCUUUCGGCAGGGAAGAUAAUGACGGUACCUGCAGAAGAAGCUCCGGCUAACUCCGUGCCAGCAGCCGCGGUAAUACGGAGGGGGCAAGCGUUGCUCGGAAUUACUGGGCGUAAAGCGAGCGUAGGCGGUUAAUUUAGUUGGUGGUGAAAGCCCAGAGCUUAACUCUGGAACUGCCAUCAAAACUGAUUGACUAGAGAUUGGUAGAGGAAAAUGGAAUUCCUAGUGUAGAGGUGAAAUUCGUAGAUAUUGGGAAGAACACCAGUGGCGAAGGCGAUUUUCUGGGCCAAUUCUGACGCUGAGGUUCGAAAGCGUGGGUAGCAAACAGG